Molecule: long non-coding RNA, 517 nt
Organism: Bufo bufo (common toad)
Lineage: Eukaryota; Metazoa; Chordata; Amphibia; Anura; Bufonidae
Exons: 3
Source: RefSeq, a predicted model, not a curated record
CAGUCCUCUUCUUCCACAGGAUGGUUCAGAAGAGCAUCACAAUGUCCCACAGGAUGAUCAGUUCGUGAAUCCAGGUGAACAUCUGAACAAUAUUAAUCCUACAGAGACAUAUGUGAGGGGUGAUGAGCAGAGUACAGAGGACAUUCCUACAGAUAACCGCCCAGAUGACUGGAAUAUAGAGAAACAUCCGGUAUCUUCAGAUUUUGAAGCAGAUGAUUGUGAUUUCAUACAAGAUAUACAUGAAGAGCAUGCCAAGAUCCAAGAUAUACCCUCAUCCAUUCACAGUAAAAAUGUAUCACUUGAUCUUUUUAAAUAUGUCCAAGCUUCUGAUUCAUCACAGACUGUAACAGAAAAUAAAGGUCUCAGAAGAGGUGUUAAACAUCAAACAGCUAAUGUAAGAAAGAAGACAUUUCCAUGUUUAGAAUGUGGUAAAUGUUUUAGCUAUAAAUCAGGAUUUGUUAGACAUGAGAGAAUUCACACAGGGGAGAAGCCCUUUUCAUGUUCAGAAUGUGGGAAA